CAGCCGCCACGGGAAUACGUAGGGUGCAAGCGUUAAUCGGAAUUACUGGGCGUAAAGCGUGCGCAGGCGGUUAUAUAAGACAGAUGUGAAAUCCCCGGGCUCAACCUGGGAACUGCAUUUGUGACUGUAUAGCUAGAGUACGGCAGAGGGGGAUGGAAUUCCGCGUGUAGCAGUGAAAUGCGUAGAUAUGCGGAGGAACACCGAUGGCGAAGGCAAUCCCCUGGGCCUGUACUGACGCUCAUGCACGAAAGCGUGGGGAGCAAACAGGAUUAGAGACCCGUGUAGUCCCUGUCUCUUAUAC
This 301-nucleotide ribosomal RNA is filed under the name uncultured bacterium. RNAcentral's name for it is "partial 16S ribosomal RNA". It matches the Rfam family "Bacterial small subunit ribosomal RNA", at positions 509 to 807 of the family's 1533-position model. The record is from RNAcentral.